GAUGAACGCUGGCGGCGUGCCUAAUACAUGCAAGUCGAGCGAAAAGACGAGGAGCUCGCUCUCUUGCGGUUAGCGGCGGACGGGCGAGUAACACGUGGAUCACCAACUAAUAAGACUGGGAUAACAACGGGGAACCGGAGCUAAUACUGGAUAAUAUAUUGUACCGCAUGGAUCAAUAGAGAAAGACGGCUUUCGUGUUACUAUUAGACGGAUUCGGGCCGCAUUAGCUAGUUGGUAAGGUAACGGCUUACCAAGGCUACGAUGCGUAGCCGACCUGAGAGGGUGAUCAGCCACACUGGAACUGAGACACGGUCCAGACUCCUACGGGAGGCAGCAGUAGGGAAUCUUCGACAAUGGGCGAAAGCCUGACGCAGCAACACCGCGUGGGUGAUGAAGGUCUUCGGAUCGUAAAGCUCUUUUGUUGGGAAAGAAAAGAUGUAGAAGUAACUAUGCACGUCUUGACGGUACCUAAAGAGAAAGCCACGGCUAACUACGUG
This 497-nucleotide ribosomal RNA is filed under the name uncultured bacterium. RNAcentral's name for it is "partial 16S ribosomal RNA". It matches the Rfam family "Bacterial small subunit ribosomal RNA", at positions 28 to 507 of the family's 1533-position model. The record is from RNAcentral.